ACUCUGCGAGCAGAGCGCGCGCGAGCAACAAAGCCCGCAGCGCGCAAAACCAAGCGCUGCCUCCGGCGGCUGGGGCCAGCCCCAGACCCCGUGGCUCGCUUCGCUCGAUCAAUAAACCAAAAAAACAAAAAAAAACUCUCAACAACGGAUCUCUAGGCUCUCGCUUCGAUGAAGAACGCAGCAAACCGCGAUACGUAGUGUCUCCUGCAAGCGAAUCAUCAAAUCUUUGAACGCACAUUGCGGCCUCGGCCAUUUGGGCCGGAGUGGUCAACACCUGUCCUGGUCCCCCUCGACAAAACACUCCCUACACUACCCCCAAACAACCCUCCCCCCCAAAAGACUACCCGCCGAACUUAAGCAUAUCAAUAAGCGGAGGAA
Molecule: ribosomal RNA, 378 nt
Filed under: Grinbergsozyma bentonensis
Lineage: Eukaryota; Fungi; Ascomycota; Dipodascomycetes; Dipodascales; Trichomonascaceae
Description: [Candida] bentonensis partial small subunit ribosomal RNA
Rfam family: 5.8S ribosomal RNA (bases 134-269)
Source: RNAcentral